GAACGCCUCCCACUCCUUUGUCUCACCUUUGGAUAUCUUUUCUUCCCCACUCUCCUUCCACCCGGCCUGAAUCAGGCUCACCUUAUCCAUUGAGCAGCUCACAGCACACACUCGCACGGGAUGGAGGGGGGAAAGAGGGUAGGUGCGGCAGCUCGUCGACGGCGGCCGCGGCGGCUCCGUGCAGGGAGGCAGAGGCCCGGCGACGCCAUGGACGCGCGGCUGCGACGGGGGGCGACGCCGUGGGAGUCCUCCCCGAGGGCGUUCUCCCGUCGGCGAGUGGGGGUCUCGCCCUGCAAGGGAUCUCGACGCGGUUGGAGGUGUGGACGGUGUAGAUGUUGCUCACGUAGGCGAGCUCAUGCCGGUGGCUGCCGCGGCGGCAUGCCCGGAGACCGCGGCGGAGGUCUCCUCCGGGCGGCUGACCCGGCAGGGGCUGCCGUGGCGGCGCGCUCAAGCGCUCGUGCUUGGGGCGGCUUUGGCGACGCUUGAGGAGCUGGACAAUUGCAGAGUGCAGGUGGUCGUCCGGGGAGCGCGCGCCGUCAGCGCUGGCGGAGAGGAGCGGCGGGAAGACGACGCGUCCGACGGCGCAUCUGCGACGUGAGGCUUGGGUUGCCGGUAAGGCCGCGGCUGCGCGUGCGGCAUCCUCCAGGCGGCGCUGAACAGGGCAGGUGUGGGUGAACGAGGAGGCCGCCUUCGUCCCGGCGAGAUCCAGUGUCCCCGCAGCCGCCGUACGUUGGAGCGCUGUGGCAGCUCGCCGGCCAGGGAUGGCUUGCGCCGAUGCUAGGCGGCGUCGCUGGUCUCCAUGCCCGACGGCCAGAGAUGGCUCGCGCGGUGCUCUACGCAUCGAUGGUCUCCAUGCCCGGUGCCAGGUUGGCCCAGCUCGGCGUGCCCCUAUGGCUGCAUUCCUAUUCUGCAACACUACCAGCAAAAGGAGCAAGCCUGGGGCGUUCAACAAUUGUUACUUCAUCCCCUCUCCAUGCUUCGACCCGCCAAAUCCCAUCAGGAAACAUUUUUUCAAAGUGAGCAGUGCUUUCAACCCCUAUGUCAUUCCCUCUCAUUGAUUUAUUUGAUCAUGCCGUGCAUGAAUGCCUGUUAAGAACAUUCACGAGAUGCCUGUUUAGAACAUUCACGUAAUGCCGAGUGAGCAUACCCCCUCUCUUCAUGUUGCUACUGAUGGAUGCGUAUUGGCCAUUGGCCCAUGAAUCAACCAUUUUACUUUCCGAUUCAACGAAUUCUUAAGAUGCAAUUGUUUCAUGGGCACUUUCACACAUUUUUUCUGAUGUUAUAUAGCGACGAUUUUUGUUGCUGGGAUGGCAAGUUUUACACAAGUUCACAAUCACCAAAAUUUGCAUGGCAAUUUAGCUCGUUUUUUGCCAUGAGCAUGGGAUUUGUUAAGUAUUUUUUUUAGAUAAUUUCCCAUGAUGAUAGACUUGUUAAGUAAUUCAAAUGUAAUCUAGCCGUGCACAUAGGUCAUGGCAAACAAGUUCAGAACCAAUCCAGUUGUGUUGUGCACAUAGGCCAUUGCAUUUUUUUUAAUAUUCAUAUGCCAUGGCAUUUUGUUUUCAUAUUUUUUUGUGAUUUUUUACAUACACGGCAAAUUUAUCAUAAAGAACAUGGAAAAUUUUAAUUUAUAUAUGAUGGCAAUUUUUACUCUAUAUUUUGACAUGGCAAAAUUUAAACUAUUAUUCCAUGGUAAUUUUUUUACAUUGGUAUUCUUGUGAGCGUUUUUGCUAUACUCAUUUUGAUAAACCAUGCCAAUUCGUUGUAUUGAUAUUAUAAUUGCCAUGUCAACUAUUUCCUUAAAAUGAAAGAUGGUAGCUAUAAAAAGAGUAGAAUUUGCCAUCCCCCAUAAACUACAUUUUCCAUGCCUCAUGAACUUAAGAUGCCAUGUUCUGUUAGAAUUAUUAUUUUUACAUACACGACAAUUUUGAUAAAAAUCCCACAUCAAUUUUGAAUAUGCAUUUUUUCCACGGCAAUUUUGAAUAUACGUUUUUGCCAUGGCAAAUUUGAUCAUCCUUUUUUGCCAUCCCCCAUAUACUGCAAUUGCUCUAUAUGACAUUUUCAUGUGAUUUGCUAUAGUACUUUUUAAUCUAAAAACAUGGCAAACUUUCCAUGGCAACUUUGCCAUGUUCAAAAAACAUGUCAAAGUUAUAAAUGUUUAAAAACAUGGCAACUUAAUAUGUUCAACACCAGGGCAAAUUUGGUUUAUUGAUCAUGGCAAAUUUUAGUUUAUUGGUUCAUGGAAAAUUUAGUUUCUUGAUCAUGGCAAUUUUAGUUCUCAAAUCAUGGCAACUUAGUUUACAUGAUUUUUUCUGCCAUGGCAAUUUUCAAUACGAAUCUGCCAUGGCAAUUUUUCUUGUUCAUGGCAAAUUUAAUUUACAUGAAUUUCGUCGUGGCAAGUUUUGAUAUGAAUCUGCCAUGGAAUUUUUCUUGUUCAUACUUGAUUUUCAACUUUGUGUUUUUUUCACACACGGCAAAUUCAUCAUUCAAGCACACGGCAAUUCUUGAUACGAAUUUGCCAUGGCAAGUUUUGUUAGGAAUCUGUCGUGGCAAUUUUCUUGUUCAUCUUUUUUUGAUUUUCAACUUUAUGUGUUUUUUACACACACGACAAAUUCAUCAUACAAAACACGACAAUUCUUGAUACAAAUCUGCCAUGCCAAGUUUUCAUACAAAUUUGGUUUAUUGAUCAUGGCAAAUUUUAGUUUAUUGGUUCAUGUCAAAUUUAGUUUACAAUUCGUGGCAAAUUUAGUUUAUUGAUCAUGGCAAAUUUAGUUCUCAAAUCAUGGCAAUUUAGUUUACAUGUUUUUUUUUUCUUUUGCCGUGGCAAGUUUAAAUAUGAAUUUGCCAUGGCAAUUUUUCUUGUUCAUGGCAAAUUUAGUUUACGUGAAUUUCGCCGUGGCAAGUUUUGAUGCGAAUUUGCCAUGGCAAGUUUCUUGUUCAUAUUUGAAUUUCCAACUUUUUGUGUUCUUCACACACGAUAAAUUCAUCAUACAAAACACGCAAUUCUUUGAUACCAAUCUGCCAUGGCAAAUCUCUUUGUUCAUACUUGAUUUUCAAUUUUUUGUGUUUUUUCUCUCACACGACAAAAUUAUCCUUCAAAACACGGCAAUUUUAAUUAAAUUUCAUGGCAAUUUUAAUUUAAAAUGCCAUUGCAUUUUUUAUCUUUUAUUUGUCAUGUCAAUUUUGUGUGUUCUUUUCACAUGAUUUUUUUUACUAUUUGUGUUUUUUCACAUGGCAACAUUGAUUUUUUUUGUCAUGGCAGAUUUGCCAUAUUUCAUUGGGGGAUUAAAUAUGUGUUUAUAAACCCUUGCCAUCGUUAAAAAAACAAUGUAAUGGCAAAUAGUUUGGUCAAACUCAAAUGGCAAAUUUUCUGCUAUUUUCAAAGCUGAUGGCAUUUUUUAGUAUCUGAGCAAAAUCUAGGCUUUUAUUUGUCAAAGAAAGAAAACAAAAUCUGGGCCUUUUCAUUCAAUUCAUUCUUAGUGGGCUUUUUGUUCCUUUUUUCACAGGGAAAAGGGUCUCUGAUGGACGCGUGCGGGCUGGGGGUUUCCCUGGCGAACGAAUUCAUGCAAGGGAUCGACCCCCUCCUACUGAACGAGUCGUGUGGGGUAGGGUGGUCCUCCCGCCACACGUGUGGGCAGUUUUAAUAUUCGCCCACACAGAAUCGUGUGGGAUGCAAUUGGAUAUGCCACACGGUUGUGUGGGCGGGUGUCUAUUGUGUCACACGUGUGGCAGUUAUCGGCGUCCAAAAAAAUGUAGUCUAUUGUGUCACACGUGUGGCAGUUAUCGGCGUCAAAAAAAUGUAAUAAAAAGAGUGUUCUCUUUUUUCCUCAAAAAAGAAGAGUGUUGUUUUCUUUAGAGUUAACUUUGCGGACCAAUCGAGGCUUAUCAAAGGUCGAAAUAUCACUGAAAAAUUUCAUCCUUGAAGCAGUUGUGCAAUCCUGUCAUAAAAGGAAAGGCCUUGCCUUAGUUCUUAACUAGACUUCAGAAAAGCUUUUGAUUCCAUCUUGUGGGAGAGUUUGUACUCCCUUCGGUCCUUUUUACUCUGUAUAUAAGAAUUGUCUGAAGUCAAACUUCGUAAAGUUUGACCAUAUUUAUAUGAAAAAAUAUUAACAUCUAUCAUGCAAAAGUUAUACAAUAUGAAACUUUAAGUCAUGACUCAUCUACC
RNAcentral lists this ribosomal RNA (4162 nucleotides) under Triticum aestivum (bread wheat). Its description in RNAcentral is "partial small subunit ribosomal RNA". Lineage: Eukaryota; Viridiplantae; Streptophyta; Magnoliopsida; Poales; Poaceae. The record is from RNAcentral.